CAGUAGCCGCGGGAAUACGUAGGGUGCAAGCGUUAAUCGGAAUUACUGGGCGUAAAGCGUGCGCAGGCGGUUUGUUAAGACAGAUGUGAAAUCCCCGGGCUCAACCUGGGAACUGCAUUUGUGACUGGCAAGCUAGAGUGUGGCAGAGGGGGGUGGAAUUCCGCGUGUAGCAGUGAAAUGCGUAGAUAUGCGGAGGAACACCGAUGGCGAAGGCAGCCCCCUGGGCCAACACUGACGCUCAUGCACGAAAGCGUGGGGAGCAAACAGGAUUAGAUACCCGGGUAGUCCCUGUCUCUUAUAC
RNAcentral lists this ribosomal RNA (301 nucleotides) under uncultured bacterium. Its description in RNAcentral is "partial 16S ribosomal RNA". It matches the Rfam family "Bacterial small subunit ribosomal RNA", at positions 509 to 807 of the family's 1533-position model. The record is from RNAcentral.